Molecule: ribosomal RNA, 404 nt
Filed under: uncultured microorganism
Description: bacterial SSU rRNA
Rfam family: Archaeal small subunit ribosomal RNA
Source: RNAcentral
GCGCACCAGGCGCGAAAACUUUACAAUGUGCGAAAGCACGAUAAGGGAACUCUGAGUGCCUCCUAAGGAGGCUGUUCAGGUGUCUAAAAAGCACCUGAAGGAAGGGCUGGGUAAGACCGGUGCCAGCCGCCGCGGUAACACCGGCAGCCCAAGUGGUAGCCACGUUUAUUGGGUCUAAAGCGUCCGUAGCCGGCUGGGUAAGUUCCUUGGGAAAUUUGGCUGCUCAACAGUCAAGCUUCCAGGGAAUACUGCUCGACUUGGGACUGGGAGAGGUCAGAGGUACUCCAGGGGUAGGGGUGAAAUCCAUUAAUCCCUGGGGGACCACCGGUAGCGAAGGCGUCUGACCAGACCAGGUCCGACGGUGAGGGACGAAGGCUAGGGGCGCGAACCGGAUUAGAUACCCG